Molecule: transfer RNA, 84 nt
Filed under: Candidatus Sungiibacteriota bacterium
Lineage: Bacteria; Candidatus Sungiibacteriota
Description: tRNA-Leu
Rfam family: tRNA
About the family: Transfer RNA (tRNA) molecules are approximately 80 nucleotides in length. Their secondary structure includes four short double-helical elements and three loops (D, anti-codon, and T loops). Further hydrogen bonds mediate the characteristic L-shaped molecular structure. tRNAs have two regions of fundamental functional importance: the anti-codon, which is responsible for specific mRNA codon recognition, and the 3' end, to which the tRNAs corresponding amino acid is attached (by aminoacyl-tRNA synthetases). tRNAs cope with the degeneracy of the genetic code in two manners: having more than one tRNA (with a specific anti-codon) for a particular amino acid; and 'wobble' base-pairing, i.e. permitting non-standard base-pairing at the 3rd anti-codon position.
Source: RNAcentral
GCCCGGGUGAUGGAACUGGAAGACAUUCGCGACUUAAGAUCGCGUGGCCGUAAGGCCGUGCCGGUUCGACUCCGGCCCCGGGCA